Non-coding RNA from Aeromonas sp., 46 nucleotides. The record is from Rfam. NCBI's taxonomy places the organism in Bacteria, Pseudomonadati, Pseudomonadota, Gammaproteobacteria, Aeromonadales, Aeromonadaceae.
AAAAAGGCGGCUUUCGCCGCCAAACACAGAGUCUAUCGCAAUACUU